AGACGAAUUAAACUUUCAAAUUAAUAUAUCGACUCUUUGCAUCUGGAUCUUGCGUUGUUUCUCGGCUCUCACAUCAAGGUUUUAAAUUUUUUGUCGGCUUUUCACAUCUCCCUCUUGCAUUGUUGAGAGGAGAAGAUACAAGAAAGUCAUAAGCGAACGGAUGUAUUGGUAAAACAGGAAGAGAUACAAGAGACUCCCCGCAUUUUGUUUUUAUUGUUUUGUCCGGCUACU
Molecule: long non-coding RNA, 231 nt
Organism: Helianthus annuus (common sunflower)
Lineage: Eukaryota; Viridiplantae; Streptophyta; Magnoliopsida; Asterales; Asteraceae
Exons: 3
Source: RefSeq, a predicted model, not a curated record